This 207-nucleotide ribosomal RNA is filed under the name uncultured bacterium. RNAcentral's name for it is "partial 16S ribosomal RNA". It matches the Rfam family "Bacterial small subunit ribosomal RNA", at positions 568 to 774 of the family's 1533-position model. The record is from RNAcentral.
UGCGUAGGCGGUUUGUUAAGUCUGUUGUGAAAUCCCCGGGCUCAACCUGGGAAUGGCAAUGGAUACUGGCAAGCUAGAGUGUGUCAGAGGAUGGUGGGAAUUUCCGGUGUAGCGGUGAAAUGCGUAGAGAUCGGAAGGAACAUCAGUGGCGAAGGCGGCCAUCUGGGACAACACUGACGCUGAAGCACGAAAGCGUGGGAGCAAACA